GGACUACCCGGGUAUCUAAUCCUGUUUGCUCCCCACGCUUUCGCGUCUCAGCGUCAGCAACGAGCCAGAGGGCCGCCUUCGCCGCCGGUGUUCCUCCUGAUAUCUACGCAUUUCACCGCUACACCAGGAAUUCCACCCUCCUCUCUCGCGCUCUAGCCGGCUAGUUUCCAGUGCACUUCCGGAGCUGAGCCCCGGGAUUUCACACCAGACUUGGCCGACCGCCUACACGCCCUUUACGCCCAGUCAAUCCGAACAACGCUUGCACCCUCCGUCUUACCGCGGCUGCUGGCAC
This 292-nucleotide ribosomal RNA is filed under the name uncultured bacterium. Its description in RNAcentral is "partial 16S ribosomal RNA". The record is from RNAcentral.